CGCGGGAUGGAGCAGCUAGGUAGCUCGUCGGGCUCAUAACCCGAAGGUCGUAGGUUCAAAUCCUGCUCCCGCAAUAA
This 77-nucleotide transfer RNA is filed under the name Streptococcus pneumoniae CDC1087-00. RNAcentral's name for it is "tRNA-Met". It matches the Rfam family "tRNA". From Rfam's summary of the family: Transfer RNA (tRNA) molecules are approximately 80 nucleotides in length. Their secondary structure includes four short double-helical elements and three loops (D, anti-codon, and T loops). The record is from RNAcentral. Lineage: Bacteria; Bacillati; Bacillota; Bacilli; Lactobacillales; Streptococcaceae.